GGACUACCGGGGUAUCUAAUCCCGUUUGCUCCCCUGGCUUUCGCGCCUCAGCGUCAGAAGGGGUCCAGCACGCCGCUUUCGCCACCGGCGUUCCUUCCGAUAUCUACGCAUUUCACCGCUCCACCGGAAGUUCCGCAUGCCCCUACCCCCCUCGAGGCGGCCAGUAUCAGGGGCACUUUUCCGGUUGGGCCGAAAGAUUUCACCCCUGACUUGGUCGCCCGCCUACGCGCCCUUUAAGCCCAGUGAAUCCGAACAACGUUCGCACGGUUCGUCUUACCGCGGCGGCUGGCAC
Molecule: ribosomal RNA, 292 nt
Filed under: uncultured bacterium
Lineage: Bacteria
Also listed under: 1 other name
Description: partial 16S ribosomal RNA
Source: RNAcentral